UACGUAGGGGGCAAGCGUUAUCCGGAUUUACUGGGUGUAAAGGGAGCGUAGGCGGCGAUGCAAGUCAGAAGUGAAAGCCCGGGGCUCAACUCCGGGACUGCUUUUGAAACUGUGUUGCUAGAUUGCAGGAGAGGUAAGUGGAAUUCCUAGUGUAGCGGUGAAAUGCGUAGAUAUUAGGAGGAACACCGGUGGCGAAGGCGGCUUACUGGACUGUAAAUGACGCUGAGGCUCGAAAGCGUGGGGAGCAAACAGG
This 253-nucleotide ribosomal RNA is filed under the name uncultured bacterium. Its description in RNAcentral is "partial 16S ribosomal RNA". It matches the Rfam family "Bacterial small subunit ribosomal RNA", at positions 524 to 776 of the family's 1533-position model. The record is from RNAcentral.